This 275-nucleotide long non-coding RNA is filed under the name Erythranthe guttata (spotted monkey flower). Its description in RNAcentral is "long non-coding RNA (EGUT_LNC000172)". The record is from RNAcentral. Lineage: Eukaryota; Viridiplantae; Streptophyta; Magnoliopsida; Lamiales; Phrymaceae.
GAGAGGCAGCCCGAAUCUGCAAGCCCCGCAACCUUUUCCGACGGCCAAGAGAACCAAGAAAUUUGGAAUUGCUGGGAAGUAUUGUAAGUGUACAUCGUUUCGCCCCAACUCUCAAUCUUCUUUGAUGGCCAAGAGACUGGUUCGGAUUGGUGGAUGAUAGAUGGAAUUAUUGGGUUAUUCAAUGCGGCUCAGGAUUAAUUCAUAACCGAUUAAAGAGCGAUAUACAUUUAGAUUUCGUACUUUUUAUUGUGAAUUGUCUCUUCGAAUCACUACCG